This 460-nucleotide ribosomal RNA is filed under the name uncultured bacterium. RNAcentral describes it as "partial 16S ribosomal RNA". It matches the Rfam family "Bacterial small subunit ribosomal RNA", at positions 338 to 795 of the family's 1533-position model. The record is from RNAcentral.
CCUACGGGUGGCAGCAGUGAGGAAUAUUGGUCAAUGGACGGAAGUCUGAACCAGCCAAGUCGCGUGAAGGAAGACGGCUCUAUGAGUUGUAAACUUCUUUUCUAUUAGAAUAAAACAGGAUAUGCAUACUCACCUGAAAGUACAAUAAGAAUCAGGAUCGGCUAACUCCGUGCAAGCAGCCGCGGUAAUACGGAGGAUCCGAGCGUUAUCCGGAUUUAUUGGGUUUAAAGGGUGCGUAGGGGGAUUGAUAAGUUAGUGGUGAAAUUUUCGGGCUUAACACGAGAACUGCCUCUAAUACUGUCAGUCUUGAGGACAGAAGCGGUGGGCGGAAUGUGUGGUGUAGCGGUGAAAUGCUUAGAGAUCAUACAGAACUCCGAUUGCGAAGGCAGCUCACCAGUCUGUACCUGACAUUGAGGCACGAAAGCGUGGGGAGCAAACAGGAUUAGAUACCCGGGUAGUC